AUUGAACGCUGGCGGCAGGCCUAACACAUGCAAGUCGAGCGGAUGAAGGGAGCUUGCUCCUGGAUUCAGCGGCGGACGGGUGAGUAAUGCCUAGGAAUCUGCCUGGUAGUGAGGGAUAACGUCCUGAAACGGGCGCUAAUACCGCAUACGUCCUGAGGGAGAAAGUGGGGGAUCUUCGGACCUCACGCUAUCAGAUGAGCCUAGGUCGGAUUAGCUAGUUGGUGGGGUAAAGGCCUACCAAGGCGACGAUCCGUAACUGGUCUGAGAGGAUGAUCAGUCACACUGGAACUGAGACACGGUCCAGACUCCUACGGGAGGCAGCAGUGGGGAAUAUUGGACAAUGGGCGAAAGCCUGAUCCAGCCAUGCCGCGUGUGUGAAGAAGGUCUUCGGAUUGUAAAGCACUUUAAGUUGGGAGGAAGGGCAGUAAGUUAAUACCUUGCUGUUUUGACGUUACCAACAGAAUAAGCACCGGCUAACUUCGUG
RNAcentral lists this ribosomal RNA (484 nucleotides) under uncultured bacterium. RNAcentral's name for it is "partial 16S ribosomal RNA". It matches the Rfam family "Bacterial small subunit ribosomal RNA", at positions 30 to 507 of the family's 1533-position model. The record is from RNAcentral.